UACGUAGGGUGCGAGCGUUAAUCGGAAUUACUGGGCGUAAAGCGUGCGUAGGUGGCCAACUAAGUCAGACGUGAAAUCCCUCAGCUUAACUGGGGAACUGCGUCUGAUACUGGAUGGCUUGAGUUUGGGAGAGGGAUGCGGAAUUCCAGGUGUAGCGGUGAAAUGCGUAGAUAUCUGGAGGAACACCGGUGGCGAAGGCGGCAUCCUGGACCAAUACUGACACUGAGGAGCGAAAGCCAGGGGAGCAAACGGG
Molecule: ribosomal RNA, 253 nt
Filed under: uncultured bacterium
Lineage: Bacteria
Description: partial 16S ribosomal RNA
Rfam family: Bacterial small subunit ribosomal RNA
Source: RNAcentral